RNAcentral lists this long non-coding RNA (321 nucleotides) under Mytilus galloprovincialis (Mediterranean mussel). Lineage: Eukaryota; Metazoa; Mollusca; Bivalvia; Mytilida; Mytilidae. The record is from RNAcentral.
UUUUUUUAUUACAUGUAUUGAAAUAUAUUUCUUCACUUCUAAUCACUUUCAUGGCAACACAUUAGAGUGAUUUUAUAUAUCAAAUAAUCACGAGGAAAAUAUGCUUUCAAAUGAUGAUGCUAAUGCGGACCGUUGAAUCGUUAUCAUGCAUAGUACAAUCUAUAAUUAAAUUUCACUCAAGUUCUAAAUUAAAUCAUCCGGCAAAUGACUGAAGAUAUUCUUGAAUCGAAUGUAAAUUUAUCUGUUCCAUUAUUUUCUUUUGCUGUUUCUGAUUGCUAUAAUAUAUGUAUUGUUUUGCUUCGUAUCUAUUUCUUUUUUUUU